CGCGUCAAUUUAAUAUGGAAACACCGGCAGGCAGUAGUCCGAUAAAGGUUUGAACCAUGGCUACUUAAUGACUGUAUCAAUCUUCAGUCUAGGAGCUGCUGCGAUUGCUUCCUUCUCCCUGAAGAAGAAAGUCAAAACUCAAAAGUCAAAAGAUAUGCAGUAAAACGAGGCCACUCACUCAGCAAAUAUUUCCCCGUCUCAUUCUAUCAAAUAUCAUCCGCGAUUUACAAUCCCACGGUUCGUCUCCAUGCUAGUCUUCCCAUCUCCCACUUAUCCCAUUCCAAUUCGUCUCUUCUUUCGAUGGUCACCUAUACGAAGCUUAGACGUCAGCGACUUGCAUCGAAGCUUAUGCCUACGUUCUUGAGCUCAGUGGCAAUUUUGGAGCUCUCUCUAUCUCAGUGUCGGCAGCUGCAUUCCAUCAUUUCAAGACUCUCUCCGCUUUGAAUUUAUUUUUGGGCUGGGAAGCUUGUUUUGAUGUACCGUCAGCGUCGGUCUGUGGAUGACGCAGAGAAAGUGUUUGACGAAAUGCGUCAAAGAGAACGGCCUCUUGCGUGGAAUGCGAGUAUUGGAGCCUAUCUUGCCAAUGAUGAGCAUGCUUCGGCUCUUACUCUAUUACCUGGUCGAAGGCGUCCCUCUCUUGCUUAAAGCCUGCGGCCAUCUUAGAUAUUUCCGGACUGGGACUGAGCUUUAUUGUCUUCUCGUUAAACAGAUUUUAUUGUCCAUGGGUUGCUUUCCAUUUAUGCUAAAAAAGAAUGAUGACCAAACCGCAACAAGGCGUCUGUUUUGUUUGAUUGAUCCCAAGAUACUUUUCUGUGGUUUUCUACUAUGUCUGGCCAAUCUUUUGAGGCUUUAGAGUUGUUCAGAGAAAUGCAGAUGAAUAGUCCUGCCUCCAACAGCUACACCGGCUCUCACAGCCUGUGAAGGUUUUUCAUAUGCAAAACUAGGCUAAGAGAUUCACGCUCUUGUCCAGAAAUCAACUCUAUCUUUUGGAUCGAGAUCAACGCCAAGGUUCAUAAAUUUACACCAAGAGACAAGUCUCACCCAGAGUCCAGAGACCAAAGAGAUAUAUGAGAAUUGUCCGAGGUUACUAGGAAGUUGGAGGAGGAAGCAGGUUAUACAAUGUUCGUUCUGCAUUAUGUUGAUCAAGGGGAGAAGGUUCAGAUUCUGCAUGGACAGUGAGAGGCUAGCAAUUGCUUAAACUUGACAACGCAUAUGUUCACCACUCUAGACGAAGAUUAUUAUGCAAUUUUUUAGCUGCAUAUGGUUAUUUGCCUGUGUCCCACCAAGAACAACAAGAAGUCGUCAUUUUAGGAGUGCAAUGACCCCCUUUGUUUUACACCAUAGAAGGGAAAGAGAGAGCUUGAAAGGGAAUUCAGAGUAGAAGAGAAGAUGGAGACCUGAUUAAGAAGAAGAAAGUAAAGGCAUAUCAGUAAUUAAAAGCAUGAAGCAGAGACCUAGACACCAAGCUAGGGAUAGAGUCGUCUAACUAGGCUGUUCAGCAGAGACCUAGUAGGUCUUUUAAGAGAGCAAACAUUGGAGGGUGGUUGAUGCAAAACCUAAAGAUGCGGUCUUGUAGAUACGGAGUCAAACUAAGCAUGGACUUUGGCGCAAGCUUCUUGACGGUCAAGAUUUAAAAUCAGUGAACUGGUAAGCCACCUUGUUGCAGCAGUUUGAAAAGGGAGGCAUCAGAGGUUUUGGGAUCAAUCCUUGUGGGAACCAUCUCCUUAACGAGAGAGAGCAUAGCCCUCACAGAGUAGAUGGUAGCGUAGGCAAAACGCCAACGCCUCUGGGCCUUGUUGAGGCUGGGGGUGGCAAGGUUGAGCAGCAGAGAACUGCAAUCAUAUUUUUGGAGGUCUCUCAUAUGCUUUGUGUGUAAAGAGAGAUAGAGUUUUAAGGGGAAUAAAAGAGUCUCGUCUAUAUUUGGUGUGACUUGUAAGACACUCAAGACUCGAAAGAAAUGAUCUCUCUCCAAAAACCUGAGCUUCGUGCUCUGCUAUAUAAAUCCGUAUUGGCCGCCUUUGCAUUUUUUUUUUUGUGCUUCCAAAUAAAAUCGUUAAAGCUAUUGUUAUACAAUUUUAUCUUGUCGUAGAUUAUUUUGUUCAGGAGGUGUAACCACUCAAAACACGUGUAAACACAAGGCAUGUGGA
Molecule: long non-coding RNA, 2147 nt
Organism: Capsella rubella
Lineage: Eukaryota; Viridiplantae; Streptophyta; Magnoliopsida; Brassicales; Brassicaceae
Exons: 3
Source: RefSeq, a predicted model, not a curated record